UAACAUAAGUAACCUGCCCUAGACAGGGGGAGUAACUAUUGGAAACGAUAGCUAAGACCGCAUAGGUACGGACACUGCAUGGUGACCGUAUUAAAAGUGCUUCAAAGCACUGGUAGAGGAUGGACUUAUGGCGCAUUAGCUGGUUGGCGGGGUAACGGCCCACCAAGGCGACGAUGCGUAGCCGACCUGAGAGGGUGACCGGCCACACUGGGACUGAGACACGGCCCAG
RNAcentral lists this ribosomal RNA (229 nucleotides) under uncultured bacterium. RNAcentral describes it as "partial 16S ribosomal RNA". It matches the Rfam family "Bacterial small subunit ribosomal RNA", at positions 113 to 334 of the family's 1533-position model. The record is from RNAcentral.